RNAcentral lists this ribosomal RNA (1073 nucleotides) under uncultured marine bacterium. RNAcentral describes it as "bacterial SSU rRNA". It matches the Rfam family "Bacterial small subunit ribosomal RNA", at positions 73 to 1144 of the family's 1533-position model. The record is from RNAcentral.
AAGCACUUCGGUGCGAGUACAGCGGCGGACGGGUGAGUAACGCGUAGGAAUCUACCCAGUAGUGGGGGACAACAGUCGGAAACGGCUGCUAAUACCGCAUACGCCCUACGGGGGAAAGCGGGGGACCUUCGGGCCUCGCGCUAUUGGAUGAGCCUGCGUCGGAUUAGCUAGUUGGUGGGGUAAAGGCCUACCAAGGCGACGAUCCGUAGCUGGUCUGAGAGGAUGAUCAGCCACACUGGGACUGAGACACGGCCCAGACUCCUACGGGAGGCAGCAGUGGGGAAUAUUGCGCAAUGGGGGCAACCCUGACGCAGCCAUGCCGCGUGUGUGAAGAAGGCCCUAGGGUUGUAAAGCACUUUCAAUUGGGAAGAAAAGCUCAUCGUUAAUAGCGGUGAGCCCUGACAUUACCUUUAGAAGAAGCACCGGCUAACUCCGUGCCAGCAGCCGCGGUAAUACGGAGGGUGCGAGCGUUAAUCGGAAUUACUGGGCGUAAAGCGCGCGUAGGCGGUUUGUUAAGUCAGCUGUGAAAGCCCUGGGCUCAACCUGGGAACUGCAGUUGAUACUGGCCGACUAGAGUACGAGAGAGGGAGGUAGAAUUCCACGUGUAGCGGUGAAAUGCGUAGAUAUGUGGAGGAAUACCAGUGGCGAAGGCGGCCUCCUGGCUCGAUACUGACGCUGAGGCGCGAAAGCGUGGGGAGCAAAUAGGAUUAGAUACCCUGGUAGUCCACGCCGUAAACGAUGUCUACUAGCCGUUGGGAGACUUGAUUUCUUAGUGGCGCAGCUAACGCACUAAGUAGACCGCCUGGGGAGUACGGCCGCAAGGUUAAAACUCAAAUGAAUUGACGGGGGCCCGCACAAGCGGUGGAGCAUGUGGUUUAAUUCGAUGCAACGCGAAGAACCUUACCAGGUCUUGACAUCCUGCGAAGUUACCAGAGAUGGUUUCGUGCCUUCGGGAACGCAGUGACAGGUGCUGCAUGGCUGUCGUCAGCUCGUGUCGUGAGAUGUUGGGUUAAGUCCCGUAACGAGCGCAACCCUUGUCCUUAGUUGCAGCACUUUCAGGUGGGAACUCUAAG